RNAcentral lists this ribosomal RNA (213 nucleotides) under uncultured archaeon. RNAcentral's name for it is "partial 16S ribosomal RNA". It matches the Rfam family "Archaeal small subunit ribosomal RNA", at positions 513 to 725 of the family's 1478-position model. The record is from RNAcentral.
AAGCGUCCGUAGCUGGCCGCGCAAGUCCAUCGGGAAAUCCACCCGCUCAACGGGUGGCCGUCCGGUGGAAACUGCACGGCUUGGGACCGGAAGGCGCGACGGGUACGUCCGGGGUAGGAGUGAAAUCCCGUAAUCCUGGACGGACCGCCGAUGGCGAAAGCACGUCGCGAGAACGGAUCCGACAGUGAGGGACGAAAGCCAGGCUCUCGAACC